This 254-nucleotide ribosomal RNA is filed under the name uncultured bacterium. RNAcentral describes it as "partial 16S ribosomal RNA". It matches the Rfam family "Bacterial small subunit ribosomal RNA", at positions 524 to 776 of the family's 1533-position model. The record is from RNAcentral.
CACGUAGGGUGCGAGCGUUGUCCGGAAUUAUUGGGCGUAAAGAGCUCGUAGGCGGUUCGGCAAGUCGGGUGUGAAAUUUCGAGGCUCAACCUCGAAACGCCACUCGAUACUGCUGUGACUGGAGUCCGGUAGAGGAGAGUGGAAUUCCUGGUGUAGCGGUGAAAUGCGCAGAUAUCAGGAGGAACACCGGUGGCGAAGGCGGGUCUCUGGGCCGAUACUGACGCUGAGGAGCGAAAGCGUGGGGAGCGAACAGG